Molecule: ribosomal RNA, 250 nt
Filed under: uncultured bacterium
Lineage: Bacteria
Description: partial 16S ribosomal RNA
Rfam family: Archaeal small subunit ribosomal RNA
Source: RNAcentral
ACACCGGCGGCCCGAGUGGUGUAUCGUGAUUAUUGGGUCUAAAGGGUCCGUAGCCGGUUUGGUCAGUCCUCCGGGAAAUCUGACAGCUCAACUGUUAGGCUUUCGGGGGAUACUGCCAGACUUGGAACCGGGAGAGGUAAGAGGUACUACAGGGGUAGGAGUGAAAUCUUGUAAUCCCGUGUGGGACCACCUGUGGCGAAGGCGUCUUACCAGGACGGGUUCGACGGUGAGGGACGAAAGCUGGGGGCAC